UCUUCAUUUCCCGUGUUCUCUCACCAAUCAAAAUGGCGAGAGAGCGUGUAAAAUGAAGAGA
RNAcentral lists this microRNA precursor (61 nucleotides) under Pristionchus pacificus. RNAcentral describes it as "mir-8364 microRNA precursor family". It matches the Rfam family "mir-8364 microRNA precursor family". Lineage: Eukaryota; Metazoa; Nematoda; Chromadorea; Rhabditida; Neodiplogasteridae. The record is from Rfam by way of RNAcentral.